This 301-nucleotide ribosomal RNA is filed under the name uncultured bacterium. RNAcentral's name for it is "partial 16S ribosomal RNA". It matches the Rfam family "Bacterial small subunit ribosomal RNA", at positions 509 to 807 of the family's 1533-position model. The record is from RNAcentral.
CAGUAGCCGCGGUAAUACGUAGGUGGCAAGCGUUGUCCGGAAUUAUUGGGCGUAAAGGGCUCGCAGGCGGUUUCUUAAGUCCGAUGUGAAAGCCCCCGGCUCAACCGGGGAGGGUCAUUGGAAACUGGGAAACUUGAGUGCAGAAGAGGAGAGUGGAAUACCACGUGUAGCGGUGAAAUGCGUAGAGAUGUGGAGGAACACCAGUGGCGAAGGCGACUCUCUGGUCUGUAACUGACGCUGAGGAGCGAAAGCGUGGGGAGCGAACAGGAUUAGAUACCCCGGUAGUCCCUGUCUCUUAUAC